This 643-nucleotide long non-coding RNA is filed under the name Monodelphis domestica (gray short-tailed opossum). Its description in RNAcentral is "lncRNA (ENSMODG00000038002.1)". Lineage: Eukaryota; Metazoa; Chordata; Mammalia; Didelphimorphia; Didelphidae. The record is from RNAcentral.
CUAGAAUGUUUGUUUGUUGUGGUCAUCAAAGGGUGUUGAAGUAACUUCAUAAUUAAAGUCCUAAUGGAAGCAGGAAAAGGAGAAUGCAGGAGCAAUAGGCACUCAGUGAUUAAAAGGUCAGCUAGAGUGCUCUGCUAUCAUGUGGUUAGGACUAUCUGAGGAGUCCUCAGUGAGAAGAGGAAGGAGCCCCCACUGACGCCCCCUAGGAUUUGCCUGAUGGAUGCUUAAGGAACUUCACAAGAGAAAGCAAGAACACACAAAAUAAAGUGUCUCUUGGUUCUUAUUAAAACUCUGAGAGGAGCUCAGUCGUCAGCUUAAGGAACAUGAAGAUAAGGUGUCCAUUGUGGAUUUGACAAUAAGAGGUAGAGUCUUUAGAGAGAAAAACAUGGAAUGGAAAGAAAAGAGAACAUAGACGCCACAUUCCAGAAAGGAAGGCUCCAUCCUGAGCCAGACCUACAAUGUGGAAAUGGGUAUGGCCUGGGAGGACUAUGUUUUCACCCCUCUUCUAGAAGGAACAGGAUUGAGGAGUGAAUUUGUCAGAAUCAACCAAUCACAGAAUGAUAGAGCCAGAAGGGAAUUUAGUCCAUUGAGUACAACCCUCAGAGUUCAGUUGAGGAAAAUGAGACAAAGAAAGAUGCAGUGA